This 253-nucleotide ribosomal RNA is filed under the name uncultured bacterium. RNAcentral's name for it is "partial 16S ribosomal RNA". It matches the Rfam family "Bacterial small subunit ribosomal RNA", at positions 524 to 776 of the family's 1533-position model. The record is from RNAcentral.
UACAGAGGGUGCGAGCGUUAAUCGGAAUUACUGGGCGUAAAGCGUGCGUAGGCGGCACGGCAAGUCGGGAGUGAAAGGCCUGGGCUCAACCGAGGAACUGCUUUCGAGACUGCCGAGCUAGAGUGCGGAAGGGGCAUCUGGAAUUCCCAGUGUAGCGGUGAAAUGCGUAGAUAUUGGGAAGAACACCUGAGGCGAAGGCGGGAUGCUGGGCCGACACUGACGCUGAUGCGCGAAAGCCAGGGGAGCAAACGGG